ACUCAAAGGAAUUGACGGGGGCCCGCACAAGCGGAGGAACAUGUGGUUUAAUUCGAUGAUACGCGAGGAACCUUACCCGGGCUCGAACGGCAUAUGAAUGAUUAGGAGACUAGUCAGUCCGCAAGGACAUUUGUCGAGGUGCUGCAUGGUUGUCGUCAGCUCGUGCCGUGAGGUGUCGGCUUAAGUGCCAUAACGAGCGCAACCCUUAUCGUUAGUUACCAUCAGGUCAUGCUGGGGACUCUAGCGAGACUGCCACCGUAAGGUGUGAGGAAGGUGGGGAUGACGUCAAAUCAGCACGGCCCUUACGUCCGGGGCUACACACGUGUUACAAUGGGGGGUACAAAGGGCAGCUACCUGGUGACAGGAUGCUAAUCUCUAAAACCUCUCCCAGUUCGGAUCGGAGUCUGCAACCCGACUCCGUGAAGCUGGAUUCGCUAGUAAUCGCGCAUCAGCCAUGGCGCGGUGAAUACGUUCCCGGGCCUUGUACACACCGCCCGU
This 498-nucleotide ribosomal RNA is filed under the name uncultured bacterium. RNAcentral describes it as "bacterial SSU rRNA". It matches the Rfam family "Bacterial small subunit ribosomal RNA", at positions 899 to 1397 of the family's 1533-position model. The record is from RNAcentral.